AAUGUACUCCCUCCGUUCCGAAUUACUUGUCGCAGGUAUGGAUGUAUCUAGAUGUAUUUUAGUUCUAAAUAUCCAUUUUUGCGACAAGUAAUUUGGAACUGAGGGAGUAUGAU
Molecule: non-coding RNA, 113 nt
Organism: Triticum urartu
Lineage: Eukaryota; Viridiplantae; Streptophyta; Magnoliopsida; Poales; Poaceae
Source: Rfam